GAGCGGGGCGCGGGGUGGUGUGGCUGCGCCGGCCGAAUCGCCGGCUGCCGCGGGCUCGGCCCACCCACGCUCCCGCCUCCGCUGGCCCGCGCGUCACUCCAGAGGCGGGGCCUCGUGGGCGGUGGGGGGCGAAGGAGGGGUGCUGCGGCGAGCGGGGUCGGCUAACGGCUCCCCACAGGCUCGCCGCAGGUUCCAGCUCGCGCUUCCGAGCUGCUGCUGCUGGGCUGCUGGCCGUGUUCUCCAGGGUGCUUUCGGAAGGUCCUCGCCCCUAUCAGAUUUCAGAGAGGUGCAGAACCGGCCCACGCCCGCACCUGUGCUUGCUUCCCUGGACUCCACAGCGGGAUGAAAGUUCCCCUCGGGUCAUCUUCCAGCUGCCCUCUAAAGAUAAUCAUCUUUGGACUUCACGGCUCUUCCUUUAGAGAGAGAUCUUAACAUUCUUUGAUUAAAGGCAUCCUGCUCCUCCGAGCCUGAGAUAAUGCCUCUCUUCCGUCUAUCGCGCCUCUCUCUGCGUUAAGACCCUCAGUCCCUCCGGCUUAUGAACCAUCACAAGGACGCAGGGUUUUUCACUUUAUGCCUUCCAUUUGCACGAUGGUGUAAUGGCAGAAGAGCCCACACUGAUAAGGAAAAGUCACCACAGCACUGUGACAUCUUACUGGCCCUGAUCAUCUCUUAUGAGCCAGUUCUGCAAAUCCUGUUCCCAAGAAACUCAAGAAAUUGCUGCUAAAAAUAAAAUUCUGGCGAACUGUCUCAGGACUUCAAAAGGGACAGAACAUAAUUGCAAAUAAGCCACGACAAACGGUCAAGAAUAUAUCACCAAAAGAAAUAAAGCGUCAGUUUUCUUCCAGUUCCCUGAUGCAUAAUGGAGGAGUAGCUUCCUCUUCCUGCUAGUAAUUGCUUCUGAACGUGGACUCCUCAGCUUACUGAAGUUCCUCCAACUUUACAAGUUAACCACACCCAGGAUGAAGAGGAAAGAAGAGCUGCAUCUCCAAAAAGGAAACCAAAUACCCAAUAACCAGGCCAAAUAUUGUCUUCAGUGGCACGUCUGAAAACACUGGUGAAAUCAGAAACCUAGGCAGAAGAUGAUCUCACUGUUUUUAAAUUAAUUGAGAAACCAAAACAAAUGGAAAGAUAUCGAAUGCAUCUGGAUGGGAAGAGACAGAAUUGUAAAGACUCCACUCUUCCCAAAUUAAUCUAUAAAGUCAGCACAGUCCGAAUCAAAAUCCCAGCAGAGUUUUAAUGGAACUUGACUUCGUGUCUCUCACUAACUCAUUCUCUGUCUUUUUAAAAGCAAACUCGUAUCCUCUAAAUAAAAGCCUCUGCAGUAGCCUUGCAAACUUCUUUAGCAACCUUCUCAAAAAGGGGGAAAAAAAAGAAUAAAAUAUUCAUAUUAUCCAUAAGACCAGAGGCAAAUGAAAUGGACUGUGGUUGUCAUCAAAUCUGCCAGAAAGUUGCUUUUGGUAUAUAUUUUUGCCCACUUUCUGUAGUAAUUGUAGCCCAGUAAUGAUAGGGAAA
RNAcentral lists this long non-coding RNA (1512 nucleotides) under Equus caballus (horse). RNAcentral's name for it is "lncRNA (ENSECAG00000056491.1)". The record is from RNAcentral. Lineage: Eukaryota; Metazoa; Chordata; Mammalia; Perissodactyla; Equidae.